RNAcentral lists this ribosomal RNA (253 nucleotides) under uncultured bacterium. Its description in RNAcentral is "partial 16S ribosomal RNA". It matches the Rfam family "Bacterial small subunit ribosomal RNA", at positions 524 to 776 of the family's 1533-position model. The record is from RNAcentral.
GACGUAGGGGGCGAGCGUUGUCCGGAUUCAUUGGGCGUAAAGGGCGCGCAGGCGGCCCGGAAAGUCGGAUGUGAAAACUCGAGGCUCAACCUCGAGCGUGCACCCGAUACUGCCGGGCUUGAGGCAGGUAGGGGAGAUCGGAAUUCCUGGUGUAGCGGUGAAAUGCGCAGAUAUCGUAAGGAAGACCAGUGGCGAAGGCGGGUCUCUGGACAGUUCCUGACGCUGAGGCACGAAGGUCAGGGGAGCAAACGGG